AACAUCAACUCACAGCAUCUAAUCUCACAGGUAACUAAUGCUCAUGGUUGUAACACUAUAUAUUUAUGAGAAGUUUGCCACUGGAUUGAGGACUUUUCAGUAGGGAGGACUAAGCAUGUUAUCUUUUAUGGAGAGUCAUUGUCAGAUGUAGAAGUAACUUCAGGGUUGUGCCAGGGAAGGGUGUCGAGUCCUUUACUGUUCGUAUUGUAUAUUAAUGCGAUUGCAGACAAUAUUAAUACUUAUCUCAGACUUUCGCAGGUGGUGCAGUUAUCUGUGAUGAAGUACUGUCUGGAAGAAGGUGCAUAAAUAUUGUCAGCUAUUGAUAAGAUAGCAAAGUGUUGCGAAGAUUGACAACUUGCUCUAAAUGUUCAGAAAGAUGGAACCAAGGGUAGAUAGUGGCCUCCGAGCUGUUUCUUUACUUACAUCUGUACCUUUGUUGAAUUACAUUAUCAUAGUGCAAGUUGGUCAUACAAUUUUGAUGCAAAAGUGAACCUGAAAACAUGAUAAAAUGUGGACGUCUCUGGAGAAAGCUCAGUGUGUGGGGCCUGGUAGAUACAGACGAUACCUGAUACCCAAAUGCAACAAACCUUUCAGACUUGGAAUACAUCAUUUAUGGAAACAGGUAGUGUUCUCCAUAAAAAAAACAGGGCUGGUCACCACGAGUUUCAGAUGCCAUUGUGGACAGGGUACGGCAGGCGUUUGCAAGGAGUUCUAUAAAAUCUGUAUGUACUGCAGCCAGGGAGUUGGAAAUGAGAAGAUCGACAUGGCACAAUCUCUUGCAUAAGAGGAGUUCCUGUUACAUAUACAGCACUUGACACUGCUUGUGAGAAAACAUUAUUAAUCAGCGUUGAUGGUGAACUUGGUCCCUAGCACCCACUAGUGGGCGUCUCCACUUCCAUAGCAGGCAGUAGACAGUUGGACCCUAAAAUAUUUAUAUUAGGGUUUCACAAAACUUUGAAAAAAAUAUUUGGUCAUACAAUUUUGAUGCGAAAUGGAACCUGAAAACCUGCUAAAAUGUGGAUACCAGUGGAUAAAGCUCAAUGUGUGUGGCCUGGUAUAUACAGAUGAUAUCAGAUACCGAAGUGCAAUGAUCCUUUCGGACUUGGAAUACAUCAUUUAUGGAAACAGGAGUUCCUGUUACAUAUACAGCACUGGACACUGCUUGUGAGAAAACAUUAUUAAUCAGCAUUGAUGGUGAACUUGGUCCCUAGCACCCACUAGUGGGCGUCUCCACUUCCAUAGCAGGCAGUAGACAGUUGGACCCUAAAAUAUUUAUAUUAGGGUUUCACAAAACUUUGAAAAAAAUAUUUGGUCAUACAAUUUUGAUGCGAAAUGGAACCUGAAAACCUGCUAAAAUGUGGAUACCAGUGGAUAAAGCUCAAUGUGUGUGGCCUGGUAUAUACAGAUGAUAUCAGAUACCGAAGUGCAAUGAUCCUUUCGGACUUGGAAUACAUCAUUUAUGGAAACAGUGCUCACAAGACAUUUACAGUGGGGUGUGCAGUUGAGAACAGUUCUCCAUCUACCCCUCAGCGCGCACCAGAAUUAUUCAAAGUGGGGCACUCUGCCAAUUCUAAGAAGCAGGCCAAAGAUGUCCUGGUAAGCAGCACAUUGUCAAUGCUGCGAGACAAACAAACAGCAAUGAAUGGGAGCAAUGAGGAUGACAAGUUGGGCGAAUAUGUUGCAGCUGAGCUGAUAACAACUAAAAAUAGAAAAUUAAAUGCAGAGGCAAAGUGAAUGUUAUCAUGAAUGCCAUCAU
RNA transcript from Schistocerca americana (American grasshopper), 1756 nucleotides. RefSeq lists it as uncharacterized. Lineage: Eukaryota; Metazoa; Arthropoda; Insecta; Orthoptera; Acrididae. The transcript is spliced from 8 exons. The record is from RefSeq and is a predicted model, not a curated record.